GUUGUCUACGGGGCGCAGCAGUAGGGAAUUUUCGGCAAUGGGCGAAAGCCUGACCGAGCAACGCCGCGUGAACGAAGAAGGUCUUCGGAUUGUAAAGUUCUGUUAUAGAGGAAGAAUGGUGUACGUAGGAAAUGGCGUACAAAUGACGGUACUCUGUGAGGAAGCCACGGCUAACUACGUGCCAGCAGCCGCGGUAAUACGUAGGUGGCGAGCGUUAUCCGGAAUCAUUGGGCGUAAAGAGGGAGCAGGCCGCCUGGCGGGUCUAUUGUUACAA
This 274-nucleotide ribosomal RNA is filed under the name uncultured bacterium. RNAcentral describes it as "partial 16S ribosomal RNA". It matches the Rfam family "Bacterial small subunit ribosomal RNA", at positions 334 to 600 of the family's 1533-position model. The record is from RNAcentral.